This 69-nucleotide transfer RNA is filed under the name Venitus latreillei. Its description in RNAcentral is "Macrophthalmus latreillei tRNA-Lys". Lineage: Eukaryota; Metazoa; Arthropoda; Malacostraca; Decapoda; Macrophthalmidae. The record is from RNAcentral.
CACCCGAUAACUUAAAGUAAGUACAGAUCUUUUAAAUCUGCUAUAGUAUACUCACGACUACUUCUGGUG